GCGGAUGUGGCGGAAUUGGCAGACGCGCUGGAUUUAGGAUCCAGUGCCGCAAGGCGUAUGGGUUCAAGCCCCUUCAUCCGCACCA
This 85-nucleotide transfer RNA is filed under the name Mitsuokella jalaludinii. Its description in RNAcentral is "tRNA-Leu". It matches the Rfam family "tRNA". From Rfam's summary of the family: Transfer RNA (tRNA) molecules are approximately 80 nucleotides in length. Their secondary structure includes four short double-helical elements and three loops (D, anti-codon, and T loops). Lineage: Bacteria; Bacillati; Bacillota; Negativicutes; Selenomonadales; Selenomonadaceae. The record is from RNAcentral. RNAcentral also lists the same sequence under 6 other names.